This 1299-nucleotide long non-coding RNA is filed under the name Parus major (Great Tit). RNAcentral's name for it is "lncRNA (ENSPMJG00000013666.1)". Lineage: Eukaryota; Metazoa; Chordata; Aves; Passeriformes; Paridae. The record is from RNAcentral.
CAUUGACCCGGACACCAAUUCAGGUGUACUUGGCCACUCUUUUAGGAACAGAUUGCUUGGGACUUUAAGAAGUCCACAUGGCAGCUUUCCAAUUGUAUUUAUCCACUUCAACUAAUUGAGUCACAUAAAUGCUCUGCAGAAUCAUAAAUUCUAUAUGUCUAUAUGUGUGUGAAGAAGGGAAGACCUAUUACUUCUGCAAGAUAACAGGAAAACUCCGAGUUUACCAAGAGAGCACAGGAAGUCUGUAUCAGAACCAGGAAAAAAAUCUACAAUCUAAGCUCCAGGCAACAGCAGAGUGACCCAUACUUCAUAUUUUCCAGAGUAUGACAUCCUUUCUGGUUUUUUACUGCACUGAUACGGUUUUUCAUGCAAGUGGCAGCACAGCUGUCUUAUUUUGUGAGCUGAUGGGGAUUCUGACUUCUCAGUUGGAUCAUCCUGCUCUACAGCUCUUGCAAUGAGGCUGGCUAUAGGAUACCUCUUUUAUAGCAGAUUAAAGUGUGACUGUAGCAUGUGUUAACUAAAUGUGACUAACACAAUUGCACCAUCAGCAAAAAACAGGAGAGUAAUUUAUGGUAUGCCAGCAGUCUGAAUGUUGGUGUAUAUCAUAAUGAUCCUUAGACAGUUGUAUUCCAACUUUGAGCAUGUCAAACACUACCUUGACUUUUCUGUUGUUUUCUGCAUGAAGCAGAUCAGCUACAAGGUUAUAUAGUAUUUCUGACAAUCAUAUUUUCUAUUCUCACUGUCAACAGGCUUUCUGAACUGUAAGUAACCCAUAUUUACAUUGUAGAAAAUCAUAGAGUCAUUUAGUUCAGGAAUGAUCUGCUAUCACCCCUCUUCAGCAAUGAAGUUCUUGGGAUAUAGGAUCCAGUUGUUUCCUUAUAAAAUAAUUUUCAUGGUAAAUGAAACUGGUGAAAGAAAAGUUUGUUGAUGCUAAAGCAGGACCUCAUUUACCCUCAGACUUUUUUCCAGGACUUCUUCAGUGUGAAAGUAUCUUCAAGUAUUUGUAAAUACAAUUUAUUGAUAACAUCCCUGGAGGGUUUCCAUCAGAGAGAUCUUCAAGACUGAGAGCAGUAUAUUUUCAGUUCAAAAUCUAUAUGCAACUUUAGCAGUGAAGCUUAAAUUCAAGCUGAAUAAGAUUGACUCUGUCAGCUUCUGGAUUACUUCAUUGCUUAAUACAUUGCUUUAAUUGAGAAUAUUCUCUGACUGGAAAUUUAAAAGAAAAGAAAAAAAAAGGGAGAAAAAGGAAAGGUAGCAGUAACAUGCAGCUUUGUUGAAGGGAAUGUUAAAAACAAAAAUCUU